Molecule: long non-coding RNA, 1055 nt
Filed under: Lonchura striata (white-rumped munia)
Lineage: Eukaryota; Metazoa; Chordata; Aves; Passeriformes; Estrildidae
Description: domestica (Bengalese finch) lncRNA (ENSLSDG00000003224.1)
Source: RNAcentral
GCAGGACGGGCAGGAGCGCACUGGAAUGCACUGGGAAUUGUGCUGGGAAUGCACUGGGGAUGUACUGGGAACUGCACUGGGGAUGUACUGGGAAUUGUGCUGGGAAUACACUGGGAAUGCACUGGGAAUUGUGCUGGGAAUGCACUGGGGAUGUACUGGGAAUGCACUAGGAAUUGUGCUGGGAAUGCACUGGGGAUGUACUGGGAAUGCACUGGGAAUUGUGCUGGGAAUGCACUGGAAUGCACUGGGAAUUGUGCUGGGAAUGCACUGGGGAUGUACUGGGAAUGCACUGGGAAUUGUGCUGGGAAUGCACUGGAAUGCACUGGGAAUGCACUGGGAAUUGUGCUGGGAAUGCACUGGGGAUGUACUGGGAAUGCACUGGGGAUGCACUGGGAAUACACUGGGAAUGCACUGGGGAUGCACUGGGAAUGUACUGGGAAUUGUGCUGGGAAUGCACUGGGAAUGUACUGGGAAUUGUGCUGGGAAUGCACUGGGAACUGCACUGGGAAUGCACUGGGAACUGCACUGGGAACAGCACUGGGAAUUGCACUGGGAAUACACUGGGAAUGUACUGGGAACUGCACUAGGAAUGCUGCAGGCCCUAAGAAACACUGGUGGGGGUGUGCAGACACUGUUCUGUGCCAGCUGGGAUCCCUCUCCAGGACAGAUCCCUUUUCCAGCUGGGAUCAGUCUCCAGGACAGAUCCCUCUCCAGCUGGGAUCCCUCUCCAGGACAGAUCCCUUUUCCAGCAGGGAUCCCUUUUCCAGCAGGGAUCCCUCUCCACCUGGGAUCCCUUUUCCAGCAGGGAUCCCUCUCCAGCAGCACCCCCACAGCUCUGGGUUAUGCCUGUAAACCACGAGGACAAACUCCACAUUAACGUGACCACAAAAUUAAAGCCGAGGGCUGCACCGAGCGUGAACCAAAACCGGCAGGGCUGCGAGAGCCACUCCUAAAAAUAGGCUCAGCCUGGGGAGGCACAGAGCAGGCUGCUGGCACGGGCUGGCCCGGGAGGGAGCUGGGGGACAGGGGCACGAGGGCAGGGCAGGAGGGCAGCG